AUUGCUGCGGUUAAAAAGCUCGUAGUUGGAACUGAGUCGCAUGCAGUGGUUCGCCUUUGGCGUUAAUCGCUGUUGCGACUAUUUGCUGGUUUUCACCUGAGGUUUCAGCUUCUUUAGUGGCUAGCGAGUUUACUUCAAAUAAAUUAGAGUGCUCAGAGCAAGCGUUUGCUUGAAUGCUCGAUCGUGGUAUAAUAAAAGAGGACUUCGGUUCUAUUUAUUGGUUCAGGAACUGAAAUAAUAGUUAAGAGGGACAAUUCGGGGGCAUUCGUAUCCCUGCGCGAGAGGUGAAAUUCGUGGACCGCAGGGGGACGCCCUAAAGCGAAAGCAUUUGCCAAGGAUAUCUUCAUUAAUCAAGAACGAAAGUCAGAGGUUCGAAAGCGAUUAGAUACCGCCCUAGUUCUGACCGUAAACUACGGCAGCUAGCGAUCCGAUAGGGUAUUGUUGCCUUCUCGAGGAGCUUCCCGGAAACGAAAGUCUUCCGGUUCCU
Molecule: non-coding RNA, 487 nt
Filed under: Ancylostoma ceylanicum
Lineage: Eukaryota; Metazoa; Nematoda; Chromadorea; Rhabditida; Ancylostomatidae
Description: Eukaryotic small subunit ribosomal RNA
Rfam family: Eukaryotic small subunit ribosomal RNA
Source: Rfam by way of RNAcentral